UACGUAGGUGGCAAGCGUUAUCCGGAUUCAUUGGGCGUAAAGGGAACGCGGGCGGUCUUUUAAGUCUGAUGUGAAAGCCUUCGGCUUAACCGGAGUAGUGCAUUGGAAACUGGGAGACUUGAGUGCAGAAGAGGAGAGUGGAACUCCAUGUGUAGCGGUGAAAUGCGUAGAUAUAUGGAAGAACACCAGUGGCGAAAGCGGCUCUCUGGUCUGUAACUGACGCUGAGGUUCGAAAGCGUGGGUAGCAAACAGG
RNAcentral lists this ribosomal RNA (253 nucleotides) under uncultured bacterium. Its description in RNAcentral is "partial 16S ribosomal RNA". It matches the Rfam family "Bacterial small subunit ribosomal RNA", at positions 524 to 776 of the family's 1533-position model. The record is from RNAcentral.